GGAAAACAGGUUAAUAUUCCUGUACUUCUGGUUAUUGCGAUGGAGGGACGGAGAAGGCUAGGCCAGCUUGGCGUUGGUUGUCCAAGUUUAAGGUGGUAGCUGGAAUCUUAGGUAAAUCCGGGAUUCUAAGGCCGAGAGCUGAUGACGAGUUAUCUUUUAGAUGACGAAGUGGUUGAUGCCAUGCUUCCAAGAAAAGCUUCUAAGCUUCAGGUAACCAGGAACCGUACCCCAAACCGACACAGGUGGUUGG
RNAcentral lists this ribosomal RNA (250 nucleotides) under Pseudomonas simiae. RNAcentral describes it as "partial 23S ribosomal RNA". It matches the Rfam family "Bacterial large subunit ribosomal RNA", at positions 1420 to 1670 of the family's 2925-position model. Lineage: Bacteria; Pseudomonadati; Pseudomonadota; Gammaproteobacteria; Pseudomonadales; Pseudomonadaceae. The record is from RNAcentral.